UGCGCAGGCGGCCAAGUGUGUGAGGCGUGAAAGCCUGGGGCUUAACCCCAGAAUUGCACCUCAAACUACUCGGCUAGAGCAUUGGAGAGGGUAGCAGAAUUCAUGGUGUAGCAGUGAAAUGCGUAGAUAUCAUGAGGAAUACCAGAGGCGAAGGCGGCUACCUGGACAAUUGUGCGCUCAGGCACGAAAGCGUGGGGAGCAAAG
Molecule: ribosomal RNA, 204 nt
Filed under: uncultured bacterium
Lineage: Bacteria
Description: partial 16S ribosomal RNA
Rfam family: Bacterial small subunit ribosomal RNA
Source: RNAcentral